GAUAAGUAAUGUGAAUUGCAGAUUUCAGUGAAUCAUCGAAUCUUUGAACGCACCUUGCGCUCCUUGGUAUUCCGAGGAGCAUGCCUGUUUGAGUGUCAUC
This 100-nucleotide ribosomal RNA is filed under the name Radulomyces molaris. Its description in RNAcentral is "partial 5.8S ribosomal RNA". It matches the Rfam family "5.8S ribosomal RNA", at positions 57 to 154 of the family's 154-position model. From Rfam's summary of the family: 5.8S ribosomal RNA (5.8S rRNA) is a component of the large subunit of the eukaryotic ribosome. It is transcribed by RNA polymerase I as part of the 45S precursor that also contains 18S and 28S rRNA. The record is from RNAcentral. Lineage: Eukaryota; Fungi; Basidiomycota; Agaricomycetes; Agaricales; Radulomycetaceae.